Molecule: ribosomal RNA, 253 nt
Filed under: uncultured bacterium
Lineage: Bacteria
Description: partial 16S ribosomal RNA
Rfam family: Bacterial small subunit ribosomal RNA
Source: RNAcentral
UACGAAGGGGGCUAGCGUUGCUCGGAAUCACUGGGCGUAAAGCGCACGUAGGCGGAUUUUUAAGUCAGGGGUGAAAUCCUGGAGCUCAACUCCAGAACUGCCUUUGAUACUGGGAAUCUCGAGUCCGGGAGAGGUGAGUGGAACUGCGAGUGUAGAGGUGAAAUUCGUAGAUAUUCGCAAGAACACCAGUGGCGAAGGCGGCUCACUGGCCUGGUACUGACGCUGAGGUGCGAAAGCGUGGGGAGCAAACAGG